Molecule: long non-coding RNA, 2327 nt
Filed under: Homo sapiens (human)
Lineage: Eukaryota; Metazoa; Chordata; Mammalia; Primates; Hominidae
Description: non-protein coding lnc-ZSWIM2-16:6
Source: RNAcentral
GAGUGCAGUCGCCGCCUGUCCCGAGACCUGGGCGUCUGUGCAGGGGCCCCCAGCUCCUGAGCCUGGGUCAGCGGCAGCGCUCCUGGACGAAGGCCUCAGGCUGAGCACCUGAGGAGGCGUGGGGGCGGGGGCGGGGAGAUACGGUCCAGCGUCCCAAUCUACCCGCGUCCACGGGAGUAGCAAGGGCACCCACGUUCCCUUGUCCCGCCGGGAACUUCCGUGCGACUGUUGUUUAAAAAUGAGGAAAGCUUUUUAUCAGUUUCUCGUGUUUCUGCUGCUUAGCCUGGCAGGCUCUCACGAACGAAACCCUGUUAAUUAAUGGUCGUUAAUUACACUCCAUUCCACAAACACUGAACUUAAUUACGGAUUUCCAGAAAGCCAGCAUAGCCUCUUGCAAGUGAGGUAUGUAAAGCUUAACUUAGUAGUCAAAGAAAGGAUUCGCAGGGCAAAGAAUUGGCAGUGAUCGUUUUAAAUCAAGUCAGAAUAAUCGAAGCCUUAUUCCCAGUUUGUUAGCUGCGGUUGUAUGAUUUAGAAACACUGAUUUGUUGAUUUAGGAUGUUUGGAUAGACAUAAUUUCAGAGCUGGAAGAAGGACCGCACACCGGUGAAAUAAGGCCCCGCGUGCUUGUUUGCCACUGGUGUGUUUCAUCAAGCCUUGACAACACUGGACUGAGAGAGAGGGCCUUGAGGACAGGAACCUUGACCUUUUUCUUAGUGUUCUUAUUUCUAGCACCUUGCCAAGCAGAUAGUAGUCGAUCAAUAAAAUGUCCAAUCAGUGAAUGAAUAGCAGACGAAAUGAGCAAAGUGCCCAGAGAAGUGACUCUUCCAUAUUUCAAGUGUUUCAUGUGCUACAGAAUCUGUUGAACAAGGUGAAGUUUAAGUGCAUUGUGUGGACUUACAACUUACAAGUAAGUACUGGAACAGUAAUUUCUGUUUUCCCAAAGUAACUAUUAAAACUCAAUCAUAAUAUACAUUAAUAACUAUCAAAUAAUCCUGUGAAAGGAUAUGUAUAUAAAUGAAAGUGAAAUGCCUAAUUCGAAUUUGUAAUAUUUAUUGGACCAGGUCCAGGUGCUCAUGCUGGCAAUCUCAGCACUUUGGGAGACUGAGGCAGGAGGAUUGCUUGAGACCGGGAGUUCCAGGGGAACAUAGGGAGACCUCAUCUCUACAAAAAUUUAAAAAUUAGCUGGGAGUGUGGUGCAUGCCUGUAGUCCCAGCUAUGCCGGAGGCUAAGGCAGGUAGAUAGAUCGCUUAGGCUCAGGAGUUCCAGGUUAUGAUAAGUCAUGAGCCUGCCACUGCACUCCAGCCUGAGUGACAGAACAAGACCCUGUGUUUAAAAAAAAAAAAGGCCGGGCGAGGUGGCUCAUGCCUGUAGUCCUAGCACUUUGGGAGGCUGAGGCCGGCAAAUUGCCUGAGCUCGGGAGUUCGAGACCAGCCUGGGCAACACAGUGAAAUCCCGUCUCUACUAAAAUACAAAAAAUUAGCCGGGCGUGGCGGCAUGCGCCUGCAGUCCCAGCUACUCAGGAGGCUGAGGCAGGAGAAUUGCUUGAACCCGGAAGGCGGAGGCUGCAGUAAGCUGAGAUGGUGCCACUGCACUCCAGCCUGGGCCACAGAGUGAGACUCCAUCUCAAAAAAAAAAUGCAUUAAAUAUUUCCAUUUUUAAAUUUGACUAAAAGAUAUGCAGCAAAACCUUUGGCAUGUUUUACAAGGCAUGGUCUAGCAUCUGCCUGAAAGAAAUUACUGAUUGAGAGAAGAAAUCCUACACAAAUCCUUACACAUAAAUGCAAAUACAGCUUAUUUCUCACCUUCUUUCCUAAUACACCAAAGAGGCUAUUGAUAUGUAUGCAUAAACCCAAAGGGUCUUUUAUAUCUUAAAAACAUGACAACCAGUCUACCUGGAAAUCCAUCCAGGUAAGGAAGACAGAAGAGUUUAAACUCUGGCUAGAUCCAGUAAGUCUCCCACUCCUCAACUUCUGAUCGCAGGACAGGGGUCCGACAGACCAAGGUGGAGUGAAGAAAUGUGAGAGGACCAGGGAAAAGAAGAAGCCCACGAAAUGACAACACAUGUACACCCACCAAAACUUGGGUGAACAACACACCCCCAAAUAGGGCUACAACUUACUGAAAGCACUUACUGUUGAGCCAUUCUUUAUGAGUUUAUUUUGAAUGAGCAGUCUUGAAAAUCAAGGAAUUUGUUUUUUUUAAAAAAGCAAAUAGUCCAGGCACUGUGGCUCAUGCCUGUAAUCCCAGCAUUUUGGGAGGCCGAGGUGGGUGGAUCACCUGAGGUCAGGAGUUCAAGACCAGCCUGGCCAACACAGUGAAACCCCGUCU